GGGGCGGUGGUUCAGCUGGUUAGAAUGCGGGCCUGUCACGCCGGAGGUCUCGGGUUCGAGUCCCGUCCGCUCCGCCA
Molecule: transfer RNA, 77 nt
Filed under: Stenotrophomonas sp. MB339
Lineage: Bacteria; Pseudomonadati; Pseudomonadota; Gammaproteobacteria; Lysobacterales; Lysobacteraceae
Description: tRNA-Asp
Rfam family: tRNA
About the family: Transfer RNA (tRNA) molecules are approximately 80 nucleotides in length. Their secondary structure includes four short double-helical elements and three loops (D, anti-codon, and T loops). Further hydrogen bonds mediate the characteristic L-shaped molecular structure. tRNAs have two regions of fundamental functional importance: the anti-codon, which is responsible for specific mRNA codon recognition, and the 3' end, to which the tRNAs corresponding amino acid is attached (by aminoacyl-tRNA synthetases). tRNAs cope with the degeneracy of the genetic code in two manners: having more than one tRNA (with a specific anti-codon) for a particular amino acid; and 'wobble' base-pairing, i.e. permitting non-standard base-pairing at the 3rd anti-codon position.
Source: RNAcentral